UAUCGUUUAUUUGAUAGUACCUUACUACUUGGAUAACCGUGGUAAUUCUAGAGCUAAUACAUGCUGAAAACCCCAACUUCGGGAGGGGUGUAUAUAUUAGAUAAAAAACCAACGCCCUUCGGGGCUUCUUGGUGAUUCAUGAUAUCUUUACGGAUCGCAUGGCCUUGCGCCGGCGACGGUUCAUUCAAAUUUCUGCCCUAUCAACUUUCGAUGGUAAGGUAUUGGCUUACCAUGGUUUCAACGGGUAACGGGGAAUUAGGGUUCGAUUCCGGAGAGGGAGCCUGAGAAACGGCUACCACAUCCAAGGAAGGCAGCAGGCGCGCAAAUUACCCAAUCCCGACACGGGGAGGUAGUGACAAUAAAUACUGAUACAGGGCUCUUUUGGGUCUUGUAAUUGGAAUGAGUACAAUUUAAACCUCUUAACGAGGAACAAUUGGAGGGCAAGUCUGGUGCCAGCAGCCGCGGUAAUUCCAGCUCCAAUAGCGUAUAUUAAAGUUGUUGCAGUUAAAAAGCUCGUAGUUGAACCUUGGGUCUGGCUGGCAGGUCCGCCUCACCGCGUGUACUUGUCCGGCCGGGCCUUCCUUCUGGAGAACCUCAUGCCCUUCACUGGGCGUGUUGGGGACCAGGACUUUUACUUUGAAAAAAUUAGAGUGUUCAAAGCAGGCCUUUGCUCGAAUACGUUAGCAUGGAAUAAUAGAAUAGGACGUGCGGUCCUAUUUUGUUGGUUUCUAGGACCGCCGUAAUGAUUAAUAGGGACAGUCGGGGGCAUCAGUAUUCAAUUGUCAGAGGUGAAAUUCUUGGAUUUAUUGAAGACUAACUACUGCGAAAGCAUUUGCCAAGGAUGUUUUCAUUAAUCAGUGAACGAAAGUUAGGGGAUCGAAGACGAUCAGAUACCGUCGUAGUCUUAACCGUAAACUAUGCCGACUAGGGAUCGGGCGAUGUUCUUUUUCUGACUCGCUCGGCAC
Molecule: ribosomal RNA, 965 nt
Filed under: Phaeosphaeria musae
Lineage: Eukaryota; Fungi; Ascomycota; Dothideomycetes; Pleosporales; Phaeosphaeriaceae
Description: SSU rRNA
Rfam family: Eukaryotic small subunit ribosomal RNA
Source: RNAcentral